CCGAGCCGCCGCCGGAGCCGGAACGGGCGCGUGGCGCCGCUUCCGCCGGCGGGGCUGGUGGUGCCCGCGGGGGAGGCCGGGCAAGGCCGCCGAGAGUGCGUGCGUUCGGAGCGGCUGGGCGCUGGGCGGCACGCUCAGGACUUUUGUAACGGAGGGUGUUCUGCAGAGAAAAAGUUGUUUGAGUUCCGUCUUGUCCAGGACUGGUUUCCUCUCUGCUGUCACCAUGGCAAUGUCACUUAGAACUGCAUGGUCCAGCCUCCUUUGGAUGCGUUCAGCAGCAACCUGUAGGCAGGUCCCACUGCAGAAUGGAGCUGUGUAUCAUGCUUGCCAUAAAUCUACAUACUCAGUUCUCCCUGAAGACUACAAUUGCAAAGUGGAACUUGCAGUGACAUCCGAUUCGAAGACAAUUGUCUGCUACCACCCUUCGCUUGAGAUUCCAUACGAGCAUACAAAACCCAUACCACGGCCAGAUCCAGUGAAUAAUAAAGAAGAAAACCUUGAUCAAGUUUUAAAAUCCAGAUUGAAUGAAAACGAGCUAAAGAACAGUAGAGGUCCUACAAUUGAAGAGCUCAGCAAAAUGUUUUACACAACAAAACAUCGUUGGUAUCCUGUGGGACAGUAUCAUAGAAGACGCAAGAAUCCUAAUCCUCCUAAAGACCGAUAGCGAAGAUAACUUCUCGUUCAUCAGGACUUUGCUGUUAAUUUUGUUUGGAAAUAAAAGUUACAGAAGGUCUCAAGCAACUGUCUUU
Molecule: RNA transcript, 749 nt
Organism: Pyrgilauda ruficollis (rufous-necked snowfinch)
Lineage: Eukaryota; Metazoa; Chordata; Aves; Passeriformes; Passeridae
Gene: MRPL42
Gene name: mitochondrial ribosomal protein L42
Exons: 7
Source: RefSeq, a predicted model, not a curated record